Arachis ipaensis is the source of this 211-nucleotide non-coding RNA. The record is from RefSeq and is a predicted model, not a curated record. Lineage: Eukaryota; Viridiplantae; Streptophyta; Magnoliopsida; Fabales; Fabaceae.
UUGGUUUAUGAUUUAUUUUGCAUGUACUAAUAAUAUGUGGCUUUUUCUUGUUGUGCAGGUUAUUUCUGUCCUGCAUUGGCCAAGGCUGUGAAGACAAUGAAGAAGGGAGAGAGAGUCAUCUUGACCGUGAAGCCAGAAUAUGCGUUUGGUGAGAAUGGAAGGCCAGCAUCAGGUGAUGAAGGUGCCGUGCCUCGGAAUGCUUCUCUGCAAA